Molecule: ribosomal RNA, 320 nt
Filed under: uncultured eukaryote
Lineage: Eukaryota
Description: partial 18S ribosomal RNA
Rfam family: Eukaryotic small subunit ribosomal RNA
Source: RNAcentral
CCCUUAGAUGUUCUGGGCCGCACGCGCGCUACACUGAACAGUUCAACAAGUCUUAACCUUGGCCGAUAGGUCUGGGUAAUCUUUGAACGCUGUUCGUGAUUGGGAUAGACCUUUGCAAUUAUGGGUCUUCAACGAGGAAUUCCUAGUAAACGCAAGUCAUCAGCUUGCAUUGAUUACGUCCCUGCCCUUUGUACACACCGCCCGUCGCACCUACCGAUUGAAUGGCCCGGUGAAAUCUCGGGACGGCGGCUUGGUCGCUUGCGUCCGACUGCUGAAACUUGAUUAAACCAUAUCAUUUAGAGGAAGGUGAAGUCGUAACA